RNAcentral lists this ribosomal RNA (492 nucleotides) under uncultured bacterium. RNAcentral describes it as "partial 16S ribosomal RNA". It matches the Rfam family "Bacterial small subunit ribosomal RNA", at positions 29 to 507 of the family's 1533-position model. The record is from RNAcentral.
AGUGAACGCUGGCGGUAGGCCUAACACAUGCAAGUCGAACGGCAGCACAGUAAGAGCUUGCUCUUACGGGUGGCGAGUGGCGGACGGGUGAGGAAUACAUCGGAAUCUACUUUUUCGUGGGGGAUAACGUAGGGAAACUUACGCUCAUACCGCAUACGACCUACGGGUGAAAGCAGGGGAGCUUCGGACCUUGCGCGAGUGAAUGAGCCGAUGUCGGAUUAGCUAGUUGGCGGGGUAAAGGCCCACCAAGGCGACGAUCCGUAGCUGGUCUGAGAGGAUGAUCAGCCACACUGGAACUGAGACACGGUCCAGACUCCUACGGGAGGCAGCAGUGGGGAAUAUUGGACAAUGGGCGCAAGCCUGAUCCAGCCAUACCGCGUGGGUGAAGAAGGCCUUCGGGUUGUAAAGCCCUUUUGUUGGGAAAGAAAAGCAGCAGGUUAAUACCCCGCUGUUCUGACGGUACCCAAAGAAUAAGCACCGGCUAACUUCGUG